RNAcentral lists this ribosomal RNA (301 nucleotides) under uncultured bacterium. RNAcentral describes it as "partial 16S ribosomal RNA". It matches the Rfam family "Bacterial small subunit ribosomal RNA", at positions 509 to 807 of the family's 1533-position model. The record is from RNAcentral.
CAGCAGCCGCGGUAAUACGCAGGGUGCGAGCGUUAAUCGGAAUUACUGGGCGUAAAGCGUGCGCAGGCGGCUUUGCAAGACAGAUGUGAAAUCCCCGGGCUUAACCUGGGAACUGCGCUUGUGACUGCACAGCUAGAGUAUGGCAGAGGGGGGUGGAAUUCCACGUGUAGCAGUGAAAUGCGUAGAGAUGUGGAGGAACACCGAUGGCGAAGGCAGCCCCCUGGGCCAAUACUGACGCUCAUGCACGAAAGCGUGGGGAGCAAACAGGAUUAGAUACCCCGGUAGUCCCUGUCUCUUAUAC